CCGCCCCUCCCCUGUUUUUCCUCGUGGCCGCCGCCACCUCCCUGGGCGCUGCCUCCUCCUGGCCUUCUUGCCAGCGCCGCCGCUCCCUGCCCUUCCUGUGCGCCGCCACUCCCGGUGCUCCACCCGCGCGCCUCCGCCCGGCCACCAGCUCCCGCCGCGACGCUGGCCCCAGGCCGUGGCUGCCGCCCCACCGGCCUGGCCACAUGCCGCUGCCGGCCGUCGGGUCGCCGUACUACACCCACGCCGCCGUCCAAGACCAACCUGCCCGGUCGCUGUUCCUCGCCUGCCCCGCCGCUCCUGGUGCCCUCGCGCGCCUUCCGAGCAGGCACGGAGCAGCCUCGCCAUCGAGCCCCUCUCCACCAUGGCCGUCGCCUGCGCCAAGCCACAGCACCGCCGCCGUUCUUCACGUCGCCGGUGCAGCCUCCGCUCGACCAUCGCCGUUGGGCCCCUGCACGCGUGUCGUCCGCGCUGCGCGCGCGUGCCCCUCAGCGCCGCCGCCCGUGCGGCCCUUGCGCGCCACUGGGCGUGCCGCUGGCCGUGCGCAGUAGCCCGCCCAUGGCUACUGCCGGCCACUGGCCGCGCCCGCGUGCCCCUAGCCGCGUGGCCGCUGGCCGCCGUGGCCAUGCGCUGCCCUGGUGGUCGCUGGUGCCCGCCCCUGCGCCCAAGGAUGGAGGAGCCGAGAUGGAGGACCAAGGGAGAAGAAGGGGCGCAGGGAAUAGAGGAACGGAGGAGAAGAACAGAGAAGAGAAGGAGCACGGGAAAGAAGAAGAGGAGGAGGAGAGGAGGAAGAAGGGAACAAGCUCGCCCGCAAGCUGUUCGAUGGAACGUCACACCCGGGAGCACGUCGCCGUCAGAGCACAUCUUCGUCAAGCCAGCGGCUUGUAUGAUGACAUCGACGAUGCGGCUCUUCCUGCACUGCCUCGGAUCGUCUAGGCGCCGACUCACCAUGGCCUCACCCCAUCUUCCUCGAGCCACACGGUCCCUACGAGGAGUUGAUCGACAUUCCGGACGACUGGUGGACCCAGGAGGACUUCCCCGACAUUGAGGAGAUCUAGAAGGAUGUCCCGGACGGACAGAAGACCCAAUAAGAUUACGAGUACCAGGUUCACACCCAUCUAUGAUCUGAAAUCCCAGUAGACAUUGUUUGCUAGAAUUGCUAUCGUUUUACUACUGUUGAUGAGAUAAACUUGCAUGACCUACUUUUAUACCUGAAUUCCUUGAACUCCUACUCAUACCAUGUUGAAUGGUUGAGAUGCUUUGCAUGUGGUUGUGUGGGAAUAUGUGAUAGUCUUGGCGUGAGUGGAGAUCCACCUUAGAGGAGUUGGUGACUAGGAUUUUAGCUGGGGGUGAGCGAUUUAACCUGAUCUUCGGAUCGGGGGCUGGGGGCAUGUGUUGGGCACGCCCUAUGGACCGAGGAUGUGCAUGGGCACGUCCUGCGGAGCACCUGUGGUGGGUGCAUGUUUUCCAUCGGGAAGACGUGGUGGACUGGAGGAGUAGAGGGGUGAGACCUGUGAUGGGUGCCCACCGCGUUCCGCUGUGGCAGAUACACAUAUGUGACGAAGAUGCUUGCCCCAGCAUAUAAGGAACCGGUUGGGGUAACUAUCAUUAGUGGGACUAUGUAAACCUACACACCACUUAUCCUCUAUGCGGAAGGAUCCGGUCCAAAGCUAGCAAGCGUGGUGCGGUGCCAAGCCUGUAGGAGGAUAGGAUAUCAGUCCAAGGGAAGGAGGUGUUGACCUCGCGUUCCUCAAGUCACAUGUUAGGCUUCACAGUCCCGGGGCGACCUCUCGCGGGAGGACGCGCCCAGACCCGGGAAACCAGGAUGGUGCCAUGGCUACUUUUUCUCGUUCUCAGUAGACCGGUGCCUCGGAGUCAGUCGGGUCGCUCCUGGCUGGCCUCGUGGCGAGCGGGUCCAGGUGUACAAGCUCUGCAGAGUUAAAACUAUACGUAUAGCCGCGUACUCGGUCAUGUACGACCCUACUUUUCUGUUACUUCCAUUAGUUAGUUUUCCCAGAGAGAUUUCUACCUCACUCUAGUCUUUUUACCUGCUUGGAUAGUAGUUGAGGUGCGAGGAGUGGGACUUCUCGUACCGACUUGGAGAGAUAGGCUUAGUCUGGAUAUGAGAGUGGACCGGGAGUCCGGGAUGCCGGAGUGGCCCGCGUUAGGAGAAUUGGCGGAUGCUGUGAGCUUGCUGCUGAUGCAUAGGAAACCCCUAGCCUUAUCCUUGGCUACUUUUUUAUACUCGUGCAUUCCACUUAAAGCUGCAUUCGAAUGGUGGCGUGAGCCUAUCCCGCCCUUGGGGAUAGUAUGUUAGAUGCAGGAACCGAUUCGACGAUCAAGCUGGACGAUGAUGAAGGAUGCUAAGGACGAAUCGUGCUACGCUCAAGUUGCCUGUGGAGGAGUGAAGUCUGAAGAUGAGGGAUGCCCAGAAGACUAGCUAUGCUUUCGAGUUCUGUUUGUUUUCCUUUAGCCCAAGGGGCUUGUACUCUGAUAUUCGUACUGCAAAUCCUCUGGAUUAUGUAUAAUUAAACCCAUGCAAUGACUUUAAUCGAGAAGUAUGACUGUGAUAUGUAAUUGAAAUGAGUU
Panicum virgatum (switchgrass) is the source of this 2586-nucleotide long non-coding RNA. RefSeq lists it as uncharacterized. The record is from RefSeq and is a predicted model, not a curated record. The transcript is spliced from 2 exons. NCBI's taxonomy places the organism in Eukaryota, Viridiplantae, Streptophyta, Magnoliopsida, Poales, Poaceae.